GCCCUUCACCCCAGGUGAGAAAGGAGCCUUGAGGAAGGGGAGAGGACCCGAGUUCGUGGCCUCUCCCAUUCUGAGGGUCAGCCCCGAGCAGGGCGGGCCGCUGCGUCUUGGAGUUCCUGUUGCCUGUGCCCUUGAUGGGUGGCCUGCAGGGGAGGCAGCCGCACUGGGUUGGCUGUGAUCCUGGGACAGCCGCAGUCCUGGGGCAGCCGCGUUCGGGCAGGCGGCACUUAGGAAAGACAAACUCUAAAACCCAGGGGUCCAAAGGACCCAUGGGAAGGACAGGUGGCUCAGGGGAGUGACCUCGCUGCUUGGCCAGCGCUUUGAGGCCCCGGGGACCCAACGGAGAGGGCCCGGGUGAGGCAUCUGGAGGCGCUGAGCGGGACCAGGAGCUGCGGGACCUGCAGAGGGCGCCCGCCCGUGUGGGCGCAGCAGCGCCUGGAGGGAGACGGCCCCGGCCGCCCGCAGGGGUCAGGCUCUGCUGCAGGUGGGGGUGGGGGGUCCCUGUCUCGGCCUCCCAGCCCAGGCUGGGUCUCUUUGCCCAGGUUGGGCGGGGCCGAUGGCCGUUGGAAGCCCCGUCUCCACGGAGACCCGAGGCCGCCAGACCGCCUGUCAGGGGCUGCCCUGGAGCCUGGCACCUUACCCUUGCACCCUGUCUGCCCCUCGGGGGCCAUGCUGUCCACGCUGACCCUGACUCGAGACAUUGGGAUGCCUGUCCACGCCUCCACUCCUGGGCCACUUCCCCGUGGGAGAGGACGAAGGCCCUGAGGUCCAAGAACAUUGAAACCUGACAGGUCAGUCAUGCGUGUACUCCAACAGCUGCAGGUAGGGGCCAGGCAAGAUGUCCACACUGCCGUGGCUUCAAAGGCAUCCUAUCCCAAGGGGUGAACUGAAGGACAGCCUGGAGCUUCCUGGAGACCAGAGGGCCCCUCCACCCUACCUGGAGCAACGCCAGAGCCUGGACUAUUUCCUGCAGCACUUCUCCCCUGCCCUGCUCUAUUUUAUCUUUUUUAAUAAAGAUGACUCCUGAUAAACG
This 1033-nucleotide long non-coding RNA is filed under the name Homo sapiens (human). RNAcentral's name for it is "HSALNT0060426". Lineage: Eukaryota; Metazoa; Chordata; Mammalia; Primates; Hominidae. The record is from RNAcentral.